GAUGAACGCUGGCGGCAUGCCUAACACAUGCAAGUCGAGCGACCGGACGAGCUGGCUGCCUCGGUGAAUGUAGCGUGGGGCAGGGGAGUGUAACGUAUCGAACCUUCCCAUUAAACUGGGGUUAAUUCGGGAAAAGGUACGUAAAACCCGCAUAUAUUCUGAACAGCAAGGCUCGAGACUGACAGACUGUUUUCUUGUCGAUCGGCCAAUGACGGACGCGCUAUUAGCUAGUGUGUGAGGUAACGGCUUACCAAGGCAGCGAUGCGUAGCAGACCUGAGAGGGUGAUCCGCCACACUGGAACUGAGACACGGCCCAGACUCCUACGGGAGGCAGCAGUGGGGAAUCUUCCGCAAUGGGCGAAAGCCUGAUCGAGCAAUGCCGCGUGAGUGAUGAAGGCCUUCGGAUUGUAAAGCUCUGUUGGCAGGGAAGAAAUAACGCGCUAUUAUCCGGGCAGAUGAUGACGGUACCUGAAGAAGAAGCCCCGGCUAACUACGUG
RNAcentral lists this ribosomal RNA (497 nucleotides) under uncultured bacterium. RNAcentral describes it as "partial 16S ribosomal RNA". It matches the Rfam family "Bacterial small subunit ribosomal RNA", at positions 28 to 507 of the family's 1533-position model. The record is from RNAcentral.